GAUGAACGCUAGCUACAGGCUUAACACAUGCAAGUCGAGGGGCAGCAUGAAGUUUGCUUGCAAACUUUGAUGGCGACCGGCGGAUGGGUGAGUAACGCGUAUCCAACCUGCCCCCUUCCCGGGGCACAGCCCCUUGGAAACGAGGAUUAACUCCCGAUGGCGUCGCCUUAACGCAUGUUUCGGCGACCAAAUGUUUAAGGAAGGGGAUCGGGGAUGCGUCCCAUUAGCUUGUUGGCGGGGUAACGGCCCACCAAGGCUCCGAUGGGUAGGGGUUCUGAGAGGAAGGUCCCCCACGACUGGAACUGAGACACGGGUCCAGACUCCUACGGGAGGCAGCAGUGAGGAAUAUU
RNAcentral lists this ribosomal RNA (350 nucleotides) under uncultured bacterium. Its description in RNAcentral is "bacterial SSU rRNA". It matches the Rfam family "Bacterial small subunit ribosomal RNA", at positions 28 to 365 of the family's 1533-position model. The record is from RNAcentral.